UCAUAUCUACCUAUCUCUGAGCCACUAGCGGAGUCUUCAUCAUCGGAGAGUAAAGAGACAGCUUCGUCUUCCAAAGUUUUUGCUUUUUCAAUAUCCGUUGAGAGGUUGAAGCCACAAACGUGCACUUCAUUGAGAGUUUCUCUUCAGGAUUGUCGCCUAGCAUGAUCGACCUUAUUUCACACCCCUUUUCUACCCCCAAAAGAAGAUGUAUGUUGGAUUAUGGGUUAAAGAGUUUUUCCAAUUAAAGUGACAAAACUUGAGUAGGAUUAUUUUAUUAUUCAAAGUCGUCACUUGAAAAUGAUUUUUGGGUGUUCCAAGUCGCGUUCUAUUUGAAUUCAUAGUCAAAGGAAGUUGUGACUCUACCAUUUUUGGCCUACGAAAAUAAAGUUCGGGUAAAAAAUUAUGUUGAUUGGGGAGAAGGUGCAAGGCAUUUCCCCGAGUCACGUGGUUCUAGCAC
This 457-nucleotide long non-coding RNA is filed under the name Nicotiana benthamiana. Its description in RNAcentral is "long non-coding RNA (NBEN_LNC013754)". Lineage: Eukaryota; Viridiplantae; Streptophyta; Magnoliopsida; Solanales; Solanaceae. The record is from RNAcentral.